RNAcentral lists this transfer RNA (64 nucleotides) under Pacris xizangensis. RNAcentral describes it as "tRNA-Phe". Lineage: Eukaryota; Metazoa; Arthropoda; Insecta; Orthoptera; Acrididae. The record is from RNAcentral.
AUCUAAAUAGCUUAUGUAGAGUAUAACACUGAAGAUGUUAGGGAAAUAUUUUUAUUUUUAGGUA